This 231-nucleotide unclassified non-coding RNA is filed under the name plant metagenome. RNAcentral's name for it is "partial contains small subunit ribosomal RNA, internal transcribed spacer 1, and 5.8S ribosomal RNA". The record is from RNAcentral.
UUUCCGUAGGUGAACCAGCGGAGGGAUCAUUACAGAGUUGCAAAACUCCCAAACCAUUGUGAGCGUUACCUAUCCCGUUGCUUCGGCGGGCGGCCCGGGCCCCGCGCCCGGCGCCCCCCGGCCCCCCGUGGGCGCCCGCCGGAGGUAAACCAAACCCUUGAAUUGCAUGGCCUCUCUGAGUCUUCUGUACUGAAUAAGUCAAAACUUUCAACAACGGAUCUCUUGGUUCUG